GUUUAAUUUCAAAAGAGGUGAUUGUGUGAAAUAUUACUUCAUAUUUGUCAGCCACCUACUUUCUACUGCUAUAUUCCAUGUAAAGAUUUGGGAAUUUCAAGAGAAUUAAAGUAUUACUGUAUGAGACCUCCUGGUUACUGCUUGGUAGAUUUCUUUUAGGAGCUGUAUCCUACUAAGGGAGGGCAAUAAAAAAUUUGAAGGUUCUCUAGAACCUGCUAACCCCUUUGGAGGGGCUAUCAGGGGUAUCAGUAGGAAAUUUUGAAUACCCAUAUACCUGGCCAUAGCUGCUUUUGUAAAAGGCUCCUGGGCAUAACAAAAUACAUCAGAAAACAGUUGUGACACCUGUUGGGGUUUUAAUGAUGCUACUCAUCCAUUACCUUCAUUUACUUUCUAUUUAAUUUUUUCCUUCAGUUACUUUCUGCCCCCCACAUCAGGGCUCUACCAGUAGUAAUUAGACUCACAGUGUAGCUGGCUACUUUCCUCCAAAAAACACAUGAAUGGCGAUAGUACUGUCUUUGGGGUUUUGUUUUGUCUAAUGAGAUUCAGUAAUGCACUGGAGGGGAUUUAAAGGCCUUUUGCUACUAUCCCCUCAUUUUAUAGAUGACAAAUGGUCAAGUACCUUGUAGGAUCGUACAGACUGGAAUUAAACAUGCUUUUGUUGAUAAUCUGAUUUAGAGGGUUCCUGAAAAAAAAAUGAAGAGGCUAAUCAAUUAGUCAAAUAUUUGUUGAGCUUGUACUUUGUGCAAAUGUCUGAGAGUGUUUGAAGGGACAUGAAGAAAACAGGUUCUGACUUUAGGAAGAGGGCUGUUGACUUCAGGAAGCAAGACAUAAACAGUGCCGAAGUGUACAGCACAGCACUUGGUAUGCGCAGUGCCCUGUGGUGUGUUACAAGUAUAAAUGUGUUUAUUUUACACAUGGAGGAGUAGAAGCUGUGAGAAUGGUGGAUUCUGCAGAAAAAUGGAGUGUAAUUGUGUUUCUGGAACGGCCUGCAGCUCUAGAAUUGGAGGUCAGCGGCAAGUCUUUAGUAUUGUCCCCUUUAGCUAUCCAUUAAGGGAAUCUGAAAACCUAAGAUCCAGCAUUUUUAAAUGGCAGUGCAAUCGUAAUGAGGACAUCAUAGUUUUUU
Molecule: long non-coding RNA, 1123 nt
Filed under: Marmota monax (woodchuck)
Lineage: Eukaryota; Metazoa; Chordata; Mammalia; Rodentia; Sciuridae
Source: RNAcentral